UUUUUGAUUGAAAAAAUUUUUCUUUGGUUUCUUUAUUUUCAAUUUAUGGAGUUCUAUUCAAAUGAUAAUACGAAUAUGAUACUAAAUCCAUGGUGUCAGACUUCCAAGCUCCAUUUUUUUUUGGCUCCUAACUAUCAGUUUAUGGAGUUGUGUUCUCAUGAUAAUAUGAAUAUGAUACCAAUCUGUUCAUCAAGCAGUG
RNAcentral lists this long non-coding RNA (199 nucleotides) under Elaeis guineensis (African oil palm). Its description in RNAcentral is "long non-coding RNA (EGUI_LNC030337)". Lineage: Eukaryota; Viridiplantae; Streptophyta; Magnoliopsida; Arecales; Arecaceae. The record is from RNAcentral.